RNAcentral lists this ribosomal RNA (495 nucleotides) under uncultured bacterium. RNAcentral's name for it is "partial 16S ribosomal RNA". It matches the Rfam family "Bacterial small subunit ribosomal RNA", at positions 30 to 507 of the family's 1533-position model. The record is from RNAcentral.
UGAACGCUGGCGGCGUGCCUAAUACAUGCAAGUCGAGCGAACGGACGAGAAGCUUGCUUUUCUGAUGUUAGCGGCGGACGGGUGAGUAACACGUGGAUAACCUACCUAUAAGACUGGGAUAACUUCGGGAAACCGGAGCUAAUACCGGAUAAUAUUUUGAACCGCAUGGUUCAAAAGUGAAAGACGGUCUUGCUGUCACUUAUAGAUGGAUCCGCGCUGCAUUAGCUAGUUGGUAAGGUAACGGCUUACCAAGGCAACGAUGCAUAGCCGACCUGAGAGGGUGAUCGGCCACACUGGAACUGAGACACGGUCCAGACUCCUACGGGAGGCAGCAGUAGGGAAUCUUCCGCAAUGGGCGAAAGCCUGACGGAGCAACGCCGCGUGAGUGAUGAAGGUCUUCGGAUCGUAAAACUCUGCUAUUAGGGAAGAACAUAUGUGUAAGUAACUGUGCACAUCUUGACGGUACCUAAUCAGAAAGCCACGGCUAACUACGUG